Molecule: ribosomal RNA, 776 nt
Filed under: uncultured Neocallimastigales
Lineage: Eukaryota; Fungi; Neocallimastigomycota; Neocallimastigomycetes; Neocallimastigales
Description: partial large subunit ribosomal RNA
Rfam family: Eukaryotic large subunit ribosomal RNA
Source: RNAcentral
AGAGAGAGACAUGCGCGCAUAUCAAUAAGCGGAGGAAAAGAAACUAACUAGGAUUCCCUCAGUAACGGCGAGUGAAGCGGGAAGAGCUCAAAUUUGAAAUCUUCAAGGGUUCUACCUUUACGAAUUGUAGUUUAAAGAAGUGUUUUCUGUUGAGGUUUUGGUAAAAGUUCUUUGGAAUAGGACAUCAUAGAGGGUGAGAAUCCCGUAUUUGACCAUUACUUUCCAACUUUGUGAUACACUUUCAAAGAGUCGGAUUGUUUGGGAAUGCAGUCCAAAAUGGGUGGUAAAUUUCAUCUAAAGCUAAAUAUUGGCGAGAGACCGAUAGCGAACAAGUACCGUGAGGGAAAGAUGAAAAGAACUUUGAAAAGAGAGUUAAACAGUACGUGAAAUUGUCAAAAGGGAAGCGUUUGACACCAGUGUUGUUUUUCUGAAAAUCAAUUAAAGAACUGUUUAUGCUAAGCUGUUUAGACUUUAUCAGCUAACCUGUUUAGUUUUGAGCUUUUCUUUAAUGCACCUUUCAGUUAACAAGUCAACAUCAAUUUCUUUUGCUGUAAAAAAGCUUGAGGAAGGUGGCUUGAGAUUCGUCUUAAGUGUUUAUAGCCUCUUGCCUAUGCAGUCGGAGAGAUUGAGGUCUGCAGCGUAGAUCCUUCGGGGCUAAAUGCAUUUGUGCUAAGUUAUAGCCUUUCAUAGACAACUUGUUGACUAUGAUCUGUCAUGUAGCUUACUCGCUUAUGCUAUUUUACCUACGCUUAGGAUGUUGAUGUGAUACUGCGAGC